CCUACGGGGGGCAGCAGUGAGGAAUAUUGGUCAAUGGACGAGAGUCUGAACCAGCCAAGUAGCGUGAAGGAUGACUGCCCUAUGGGUUGUAAACUUCUUUUAUAUGGGAAUAAAAUGUUCCACGUGUGGGAUUUUGUAUGUACCAUAUGAAUAAGGAUCGGCUAACUCCGUGCCAGCAGCCGCGGUAAUACGGAGGAUCCGAGCGUUAUCGGGAUUUAUUGGGUUUAAAGGGAGCGUAGGUGGAUUGUUAAGUCAGUUGUGAAAGUUUGCGGCUCAACCGUAAAAUUGCAGUUGAAACUGGCAGUCUUGAGUACAGUAGAGGUGGGCGGAAUUCGUGGUGUAGCGGUGAAAUGCUUAGAUAUCACGAAGAACUCCGAUUGCGAAGGCAGUUCACUGGACUGCAACUGACACUGAGGCUCGAAAGUGUGGGUAUCAAACAGGAUUAGAUACCCUAGUAGUC
RNAcentral lists this ribosomal RNA (460 nucleotides) under uncultured bacterium. RNAcentral's name for it is "partial 16S ribosomal RNA". It matches the Rfam family "Bacterial small subunit ribosomal RNA", at positions 338 to 795 of the family's 1533-position model. The record is from RNAcentral.